RNAcentral lists this ribosomal RNA (471 nucleotides) under uncultured bacterium. Its description in RNAcentral is "bacterial SSU rRNA". It matches the Rfam family "Bacterial small subunit ribosomal RNA", at positions 43 to 524 of the family's 1533-position model. The record is from RNAcentral.
CAGGCCUAACACAUGCAAGUCGAACGGAGCCCAUUCAGUAGCAAUACUGAGGAAGGUUCAGUGGCGAACGGGUGAGUAACACGUGAGGAACCUAUCCUGGUCUCUGGGAUAACAGUUGGAAACAACUGCUAAUACCGGAUGCCGUCGGAGCGCUGCAUGGCGCACUGACGAAAGGGUUACUGGAUCAGGAGGGUCUCGCGGCCUAUCAGCUAGUUGGUGGGGUCAAGGCCUACCAAGGCAUCGACGGGUAGCUGGUCUGAGAUGAUGAUCAGCCACACUGGGACUGAGACACGGCCCAGACUCCUACGGGAGGCAGCAGUGGGGAAUCUUGCGCAAUGGGCGAAAGCCUGACGCAGCAACGCCGCGUGCGGGAAGAAGGCCUUCGGGUUGUAAACCGCUUUCAGAAGGAACGAAACUGACGGUACUUUCAGAAGAAGGUGCGGCCAACUACGUGCCAGCAGCCGCGGUAAU